ACGCACGCUGGCGGCAUGCCUAACACAUGCAAGUCGAACGAGACCUUCGGGUCUAGUGGCGCACGGGUGCGUAACGCGUGGGAACCUGCCCUUAGGUUCGGAAUAACUCCCCGAAAGGGGUGCUAAUACCGGAUAAUGUCUUCGGACCAAAGAUUUAUCGCCUUUGGAUGGGCCCGCGUUGGAUUAGCUAGUUGGUAGGGUAAAAGCCUACCAAGGCGACGAUCCAUAGCUGGUCUGAGAGGAUGAUCAGCCACACUGGGACUGAGACACGGCCCAGACUCCUACGGGAGGCAGCAGUGGGGAAUAUUGGACAAUGGGCGAAAGCCUGAUCCAGCAAUGCCGCGUGAGUGAUGAAGGCCUUAGGGUUGUAAAGCUCUUUUACCCGGGAUGAUAAUGACAGUACCGGGAGAAUAAGCUCCGGCUAACUCCGUG
This 432-nucleotide ribosomal RNA is filed under the name uncultured bacterium. Its description in RNAcentral is "partial 16S ribosomal RNA". It matches the Rfam family "Bacterial small subunit ribosomal RNA", at positions 29 to 507 of the family's 1533-position model. The record is from RNAcentral.